GAAAUGCGAUAAGUAGUGUGAAUUGCAGAAUUCAGUGAAUCAUCGAAUCUUUGAACGCACAUUGCGCCCCUUGGUAUUCCAUGGGGCAUGCCUGUUCGAGCGUCAUUUGUACCCUCAAGCUCUGCUUGGUGUUGGGUGUUUGUCCCGUCUCCGCGCGUGGACUCGCCCCAAAGUGAUUGGCAGCCGGCGUACUGGUCCCGGAGCGCAGCACAUGUCGCGCAAACGAGUGCCUUGGUACGGCGGCGUCCAUAAGCCCCUCUCUCACGCUCUUGACCUCGGAUCAGGUAGGGACACCCGCUGAACUUAAGC
Molecule: unclassified non-coding RNA, 309 nt
Filed under: plant metagenome
Description: partial contains 5.8S ribosomal RNA, internal transcribed spacer 2, and large subunit ribosomal RNA
Rfam family: 5.8S ribosomal RNA (bases 1-105)
Source: RNAcentral